This 250-nucleotide long non-coding RNA is filed under the name Brassica napus (rape). RNAcentral describes it as "long non-coding RNA (BNAP_LNC016761)". The record is from RNAcentral. Lineage: Eukaryota; Viridiplantae; Streptophyta; Magnoliopsida; Brassicales; Brassicaceae.
UAAAAAAAAAAGAUGGGUCCAACCUCUCUUCUCUCUUACUUUUUCACAUUCUUGACCCUCUUCCAUGGCUUCACUGCUCAGCAGUGGCCCAACGAGUGCCAGCUCGACCAACUCAAUGCACUCGAGCCGAGUCAGAUCAUCAAGAGUGAGGGUGGUCGCAUUGAGGUCUGGGACCACCAUGCACCUCAGCUCCGUUGCUCUGGCUUCGCCUUUGAGCGUUUCGUCAUUGAGCCUCAGGGUCUUUACUUGC